RNAcentral lists this transfer RNA (72 nucleotides) under Bos taurus (domestic cattle). It matches the Rfam family "tRNA". From Rfam's summary of the family: Transfer RNA (tRNA) molecules are approximately 80 nucleotides in length. RNAcentral also lists the same sequence under 5 other names. Lineage: Eukaryota; Metazoa; Chordata; Mammalia; Artiodactyla; Bovidae. The record is from Rfam by way of RNAcentral.
UCCCUGGUGGCUCAGAGGUUAAAGCGUCUGCCUCCAAUGCAGGAGACCUAGGUUCAAUCCCUGGGUCGGGAA